CUCUGUCGGUCUCACAGAUUCAGGUGCCGAGGAUCUCGUCUCCGCUCUCAGUACAAACCCAUUACUGACGGAGCUGAAUCUGAGAUUAAACUCUCUGACAGACGGAUUGGUCCCCGCUCUCCGCCGCCUCAUACCGACCCUCCCGAGUCUGAAGCUGAUCCUGCUGGACGGGAAUCGGUUCAGUGAGACUGGGAGGAAGGAACUGAGAUCUCUGCAGGAUCCCAGACCCGGACUGACAGUGGAUCUGCGAACAUCUGAAUGUGUGAACAUCCCCGACCGCGGGAUCGGGACAUUUUGGCAGAUUCUUCGUCCUCCCCGUUAACUCCCGCCCUUACUAUUAAUGGCCGCUCGCCGGGGGACCUUCCCAACGGUUUUAACGCAACCUGCUCCUGUCUCGAGCUCGGUAAUAUCGGAAGCGCUCCCGCAGUGACGCAUUUCCGCCUGUUGUCCUGCGGUGCCACUACCGCCGGUUGUGCGGUUCGAGACUCUACCGCGUGAGACCCCGGGGAAUUACGCAGACAGCAGAAGCCCGGGGGCCGGGGCUCAGUCUGGCACACCGGUGUCCCGGGUUGGUAUUAUCCCGGGACAGAAUCCUUUUGCUCCCUUUCUUGAGGACGGUGCAUUCUGCAGUCUGGCUGAUAUAAUGAUGUUAAAUUGACAAAUCCCCAGGCAGUGACCCUGGAUCUGCAGCGAUGUCGGACACGGCCCUGAUUUUAUAAGUAUCGCAGGGCGACGGAGAGAAACGGGACUGAUUAAUCUACAGGUCACGCGUUGUCGCCGGUCAGUUAAUUCUGUGUGACUGUGAGCGAGUCCGGAACAGUGUGGUGACCCACUUUCUGCGCAGGCGCAUCCGCUCACAAUUAGCCAGCGCGCGGGGUGAGACUUUGAUAAUGGACCUCUGACGUCAUUUCAGCCCGUAGAGAGUGGGCGCUCGGGAUUAAAUGCCAGCGCCAUGCAGUUUGAAUAAACGAGUCAGGAAGAGAUUUACCGACUUCGUGUCGUUGUCUCUCGCUCUGUAUGUAGUACAUCGCUACAAUAGCUUAUUUAUUACCGCAAGACAGCAGCUCACAUAAUGUUUAAUUUACAUUUACCAUGAUGAAAUCAAUAAACCGCUGUAACUUC
Molecule: long non-coding RNA, 1122 nt
Organism: Hypanus sabinus (Atlantic stingray)
Lineage: Eukaryota; Metazoa; Chordata; Chondrichthyes; Myliobatiformes; Dasyatidae
Exons: 2
Source: RefSeq, a predicted model, not a curated record